CCUACGGGAGGCAGCAGUGGGGAAUAUUGCGCAAUGGUCGAAAGACUGACGCAGCGACGCCGCGUGGAGGAUGACGCCCUUCGGGGUGUAAACUCCUGUUGCUCGGGACGAACCGUGGAAUUCAUUCCACCUGACGGUACCGAGUGAGGAAGCACCGGCUAACUCUGUGCCAGCAGCCGCGGUAAUACAGAGGGUGCGAGCGUUGUCCGGAAUCACUGGGCGUAAAGGGCGCGUAGGCGGUUCGACAAGCGUGCGGUGAAAGCUCGGGGCUCAACCCCGAGUCGGCCGUGCGAACUGUCGGACUUGAGCACAGUAGAGGCAGAUGGAAUUCCGGGUGUAGCGGUGGAAUGCGUAGAGAUCCGGAAGAACACCGGUGGCGAAGGCGGUCUGCUGGGCUGUGGCUGACGCUGAUGCGCGACAGCGUGGGGAGCAAACAGGAU
RNAcentral lists this ribosomal RNA (440 nucleotides) under uncultured bacterium. RNAcentral describes it as "bacterial SSU rRNA". It matches the Rfam family "Bacterial small subunit ribosomal RNA", at positions 338 to 778 of the family's 1533-position model. The record is from RNAcentral.